Molecule: long non-coding RNA, 1201 nt
Organism: Triticum urartu
Lineage: Eukaryota; Viridiplantae; Streptophyta; Magnoliopsida; Poales; Poaceae
Source: RefSeq, a predicted model, not a curated record
CCACGCCCCACCCCAUACCCGCCGCUGCACCACCACCUCCCCUGCUUCCCCCGCGCCGGCGCUGCACCACCACCUCCCCUGCUUCCCCCACGCCGCCGCCGCACCACCACGUCCCCCUGCUUCCCCCACGUCGUCGCCGCACCACCACCUUCCUCUGCUUCCCCCCUGUCGCCGCCACACCACCACCUCCCCUGCUUCCAAAUGCCGCCCGCGCCCGGCCACCGCCCAACCCCACCCCGGCGUUCCUCUCCUAUGGCGCUGCAACACCACCCAGCACCGUGAUCCGUACCUGCCUCUCCUUGCGAAUUCUCCUCCCCAUCCCGAGCUCUCGUCCUCCUAGCCAAGAUCCAUGGCCGUCGCAGCCCACCCCUUGGGCCUAGCCAAUCCCCACUCCCCACCUUCCUUCUCUCCACCAUGGUCUCGCCGCCAUCAGCCCCAGGGCCAGCCAACAACUCUGGCCACGCCCCUGCCAAACAACCACUGGAUCCACUCCGCCACCGAUGCACAUCUCCCCAACUCCCCUCCCCUAGCGUGCUCACCUCCCACCUCGGGGGUCACUGGAUCAGGAUCCAGGCCGGGGGCUCCCCCCAACUACGCAACACCGCCGGAUCGGCCUCCCCGCGCCCCUGAGAUUCCAGAUCGGGCCUCCCCCCAAGGAGUACACCAUGCAUCUCGGGCAGCACGCUCGUGCGGUUCGGCCGUCCCGCAAUGGCCGCUAUCCUCGCGUGUGCGCCCUACUGGCCAUGUCAUGCGCCAUCGGGACCGCGGCUGCCUCCAGUCAUCGGUGCGCUAUCUUCCCCGACGAACAGCCCAUCUGGAAACGAGCUUCCCCUCCUUCCCUUGCAGCCCAUACAUCCGGACUUGCAGUGCGCUGGGCGCGCGAUGCAGUUUGGCGCGCUUGGCCAUGCAGUUGACGGCUCCUGGUGCAGUCCACUACUUUUUUUGGAGGGAGGCGAAGAAGCAAACAAAGAGAUAGAGAAAUGCACUGCACACUCAGACUAAAAAAAUGUUGUUGAUGAUGGUUUGCUAGUUAAUGAAUCAUGCUGUUAAAUGUGUAUUAUGAAGUCCACUAUUUGCACCAAGAAGUUCGGCUGAGCCUGUAUCUCAGCUCACCGGCCAUCUCUCCUGCAGUUUGAUUAUGUAGCAUAGCUUUUUGUUUAGCCGGUGUGCAGUUCGGGAUACAUAGCCGAGCUGUUCAACA